UGAAUAGAAAAAAAAAGUGGUAAAUGUCGGCUGCGAAUGUUUGGAAAUUGAUCGAACGAAAAUCGCCUUAACGUUAAACAAAUGAAUUUAACGUAAUUUAUUGAAAUAAAUCGUUUGGUUUUUGUGUAAAUAUCAUUUUUUUUCUUUACAAGAAGAGAUUAAACAGAUUCUGUUCAGCUGGCAAGACAAGGAGAGCAAUCAACUUGUGAUAACUUCAUGUGUUGGUCGAGUCUCCUUUUGAGAAUAAGAAGAUUUCACAUGAUUGACAUUGCCAGAAAAAACAUGUCUCUGACUGUGCAUCAAAUUCUGAACGACGCCAAGCGUCUAGUGACCCGACUGCGAGACCACGAUAAUACUGCAGAUACUAUAAUUGCUCAAGCACAGUCACUCAAUAAGACUGUGGAAAGCAUGAAUGAAUAUAAUGAAGAUCUGGCCGAAUUAAACACAUCUAUUCAGCAGCGUCCCCGUUCUUCUCUGAUCCUAAAUAUUCAGCAAGAGAACAGACACAUUAGAGAACUCCAGCAGGAAAAUCGUGAAUUAAGAAAUAUGCUGGAAGAAUAUCAAUCUGUUUUGGAACUAAUCAUGAGCAAAUAUCGUCAGCAGGUUACUAAACUCGUUCAGUCUACAUCGGUCGACCGUGCUUGGGGCGAACUAGAUAAUUAUAAGGAAUUACAAGAACAGGCAGACAGAAUUUGUGAUAUGGCAGCAAUUAUCAAACAAGCCAUAGAAAUAGACGAUGGUAAUUACGCUUACGAACAGGAACGUUUGACACAACUCCUAACGGAAAACAAAGGACUGAGAGAAUUGCUGGAAAUAAGUCGCACUUCAGGAUCGCUAGGACGACCGUCAAAUGCACCGGAUACCACAGAGAAAGAAGUACAGACCGACACAUGACCAUUUUAUUGAUUGGGAGAAUUGCAUUUUUUCAGUGCAUGAAUUAAUGUUACUACUGUAUAUUACACACUACUAUACUGUAUAUUAUACAUGUUGUCAUCACUACAGAAACCUGAUCAGAGAAAAAAAAUUUGUUGAGAAGUAUUUAAUAAGGCAGCAAAUUACUUUUAAUGAAUUUAUAUUGUUUUAAAAAUUAUUUAGGAAUUUAAAAGGUACAAAAUGUUUUCUAAAUAUGCUACUUAGAUAAAAUAUACAGUAUAUUACUAAUUUAAAAAUCAGAAGAUACAUAUUUAAUCUUUGAAAAGGAAAAAUGUGAUUUUUUUUUAAUGUUUCUAAGUCAGUUUAUUGAUUUUCUUUUGGUCAUUCAAUAAAAUAUUCAUUGCCAUUGAUAUCGGCAGUUUACAACGUCAUUAAAAUAAAAAUAAGUUUUAAAUUAAUGUAAAUAAAAUUUAAAAAAUUUGAAACAUCUAUAAAAUUUUUUAUAUCAUCUUUAAAUUCCAGUAAUUAUUUUUGAAGGGAAAAGGAACCAAACAAUAUACACUGCCAUUUUGGAGGACAAAUAUAUUGCUUUGUACAAACGUAGCCGCAAGAUUUGUAAAUAGGUCGCUCGUAAGAGUUUCAGGAAUGAUUAGCGAUAAUCACUUUAGUCAAAUUCACUUUCACGGAUUUAAAUAUUAGGCCCGAACAAAGAUUCAUUAUGAGAACAUUUUAGAAAAGAAUAAGAAUACAAAAGUGAACAUUGUGGUCCAAAACUUAAUGAAAAUGCUUGCAGCCUGUUGAUUUUGCCUUUUUCUACUAUUUGUAAUUUUGCCUAUCUAGUUUUAGACUUGUUGCAUGUCUUAGACAGUUCUUUUACAAUGUAAGCAACAGAAACAAAAUUUUGAUGAACAAGAUUAACAGUUUGUGGUCCGAGGAUCGUGACAAGAAUUUCAGAUGAUGAUACAAUAUUAUUUUGUUGCACUGUGUAAGAAAAGCUGCCACCUCUGAUAAACGACUGUGUCAACUUGCUUCUAAACAUAGCUUGUCAAGAAAAUGCCGAAAAUAAGAAAUGUGUGAGACAAAUAUAGUUUACUAGUCGAGUACAGUCUAUGAAGCACAAGGUAAAUAAUUCCAGUUUAAUUUGGAUUUAAUAGCUACAUUAAUAGUUGCAGAUAUUCCAAUGUGGAAACUGACGGAUUUCUUCAAAUGUACACUGGAUGGGAAUGUUAUAAACAAUUAUUGUUCCUGACGUGACCCUAAGACCAGUGCUAAUGCACUUAUGCAGAGUGAGCCAAAAGUCCCCAAAUCUUUGAUUUUAAUAUUUUUUAUGUUGAUGUUAACAUGUAAUUUCUAAAAUCAUUGCCUUACUUACAUCUUAAAAGCAUGUAAAGACAAUAACAAUAUCACUAAGCUUUUAAUUAAAUUAGCUUUGCAAAGGACAAAUUCCAAACCUUGCCAGACCUUUCUCCUUCCUCAGACAUGCUGGUUCUCUAACCAGCACCAGUUUCCUAUUGGCUCUCCAAUGUCAUAAUGCAGCAUACACAUGCAUGUCUCACAAAUCAUAUGAGCAAUGCAUAGGGAGAGUGCAUAAUUUCAAAUAGUGCCCUCCCAGAUCUCCCGAUUUAUCAUCAUCCAUUUCUUCCGUUAGGAUUAUCUAAAGGAAUAAGUUUACAUGGAAAAUCUGAGAGACCCGUAGUCAUUGAAAAGGAACACUGCCGCUACCUUCAAUAAUAUUUCUCAAAUCAUGAUAAAAUGUGUAGCUACAAACAGGUGCAUGUAUAUUUGCACUUGCAGGAACAUGAUGGACACUUCCAAAAUCAUCUGUGAGUGUUUUCAAAGCCCAAGGAAUCAGAAAACAGAUAUGAUAUAUAAACUUUUUUAUUUAAAUAAAAGAAGUUUUUUCAAAAAAUGGUUCUUUUCUGGGAAUUUUGGCUCACUUUGUAUUUCCAUAAACAUUAUGAUGCCGAUUUUAGUAUUCCUUCCAGUUUGGCAUUUGAGACAGUUACCUGUCUGCCUCUAUUCACGCAGUCCUGAUAUAGGAUGUUACAGCUCAUAAGCACGUGUCCUUAAUUAGUUCUUAAAUCCUUUGUGAAUGUUAGACAUACGUCUAACAUUCAUAAAGGAUUUAAGGAGUAAUAUAAAUGAGUUAAUUGAUAAUACUAUGAACAGUACAGCCAGAAAUAUGCUAAUGUAAUUGGCAUUUUAGACAAAUUUCACCUCAAAAACCCUGUAUCAACUAUAGGAAUUCUAGAAAAUAUUGGCAUGCAAGUGUUCUGUUUACUUGUGAAAUGUCAACUCUGGCUUGUAGGUGGCAAAACAAAUUGUUUGGUGUUGAUGCAGCACAAUAUAUGGUGGUCAUUCUAUUAAGGUUGUCCCCAAGUGAUAUAUUUGAUAGGUCUAGUUCAUGCUCUGCAAGAGGUUGUUGAGAAGACAAAGAAUCCUUAUCCUGAAAUGCAUUACAUUGUUGCAGUCAUCAAGAAAUUGUGUUAUACAUGUCAGUCAUGUCAAAAUUCGUUACAUUACAACUACUUUUGACAUUUUAUGAGUUGAGUUUUUUGAACUAGAAAAGAAUGGAGACCUACAGAUUCAGUUUUUUGGAUGUUGAGACAGGAUAGUCUAAACUUAAAUCUGUUGGUGGAAUGGUUAACUGAUCAAAUUUUAAUGGAAAAUCCUGGGUAGAAAACAUUUGGACAAGAUUACAGCUCUGAAUGAGGUGAGUAGGACUCUCCCAGACAAAAAGUUGGAAGACUUGACACCGGAUGACCGAAAAGUCAAAAGAACCAUAUCUAAUUGUGACUCUUAAAUAUUUGUCUCCAGUUUUGUUACUUCACUUCUGGUUAAGGCCAGAUAUAUCCAAAAUAGGACAUCAAGUUUUUUGAGUGUGUGGUUAGGUGCCAGGAAAUGACUUGUGGCAAUUGGAUGGUUGAAAAAAUAUACAAUUUUUCUAGUGUGCUGAGAUUAUAGCCCCCUUCUGUCACUAUUGUCUCCUUUCCAGAUUGCCUCUGCCCAUUCUCUCCUUGGACUACAUUAUGCAGCAUUGUCAUAUCUUUUAUAAUUACAAAUUACUUCUCAGCCCAUCCAUGGUAUCAUCUUAGAAUUUGUUGCACCUUGACACCUCGAUAAUUGAAUAGUGGGUCAGGUGAUCAGAGCCCACCAAUGGCCAAAUGGAUAAAACUACUAGGCAUUGGUUAUGGAUUGGUGUCUCAUCAAGGGACUGGUCGUGGUUUUUAUGAGUUUGCUUCACUGUAAUUAUCUAAUAUCUAAAUAGGGGCCAAUUUCUCAGAAGAUGCUCCUGGGAGGCAUUCAUAUUCCUUGGCAGAUAGGAUAAGGCAAUACAACAUUUGGGCAGAUUGCCCAAGUACAUUGCAGUAUUUUGUUAAAAUCAAACUUAUUGAUUAUGUUGGCUCCAGCUGAAGUUAUAUAUGCCCUAUUCUUGGCCAAGAACUCUUGAAAAUGACAGAAAGCAAUUGGUCUACAACCCAAACAUACAACAAAGUUGUUGUUAAGCAGCGGGACAAUCUCUUACAGCAAUACAGCGAACCAAGAAAUCCACAUUGAAAAGUAACGUUACAUGUCAUUGAAGUUACUUAUCUCCGAGUUCCAAUGUUAAACAUUAGGAUUUAUGGGCUUCUAAUUUUGAUUUCUGAUUAUUCCACGUAAUAUUAAUGAAGAAUAUAUAAAAUGGAGAAAUUCUUUAAGCAAUCGGCAAGUGUUCACUAUGUUUUAAGAAACUUUGUGAUAUACCAAGUUUCUUGAAACAACAUAGUGAACACUUUCCUACUAAGUCCUUUCUUCAAAAAACUGUAGGAUGUUGCAUGUUUUUGCUAUUGAUUAUUGAAUUGCUAAUGACUGCUAUCAAAGUAAUCAAUAGCAAUUCAAAAUCUGAAAGUAUCAUUGGCAAUGUUAGAUGAAUUUUUAUUAAAUUACAAUGGAAACUACCUGCUUUUAGCUUUUAGUUCCAUUUCAUUGUUACGGCAAAACGUCCAAUGUCUCGAAACAUAUUUUCCAUCUGCCAGUGGAAAAAACAAUAAAACAAUUAAAAACAGAAUAGGGCAUUAGAGAGCAUGGGGGAUAAUUACCGCAAAUGCUAACGAAAAUUUUUGAAUUGAAAUAACGUGGCUUCUGGUUUACAUUGGAAGUUCUUAUACAGUUAAUCCUACCCCUAAGGUUUCCAUAUCUUGUCUCGUCUUUCGUCUAAAUAAUUCCGAUCUCGAGAUUAAGGAAAGACAGACGGACGACAAUGGGAAUUUAUAGGUCUGCAAUGUUUCGAAUUGCAGCCCAAUGAUUAUUGUAAGGUGUAAGCAUAAGAAUACUGGAUAUAACGAAUGACACAACGAAGACAGAUAUAUAGUAUUAAUUCUGGAGGAUGUGUAUUUCGGGCUGUAUGUUCGUCAUCAGUCCUCUAAUUAUAAAAACAUUACGAAAUUUAAUUUAUAGCUAAAAGUAUAUAGUUUUUUAUUUUCAUCUGCGAUAAGGUAAUAAAAUUUUUAAUUAAUUUAUUGUAUUUCUUACGAGUAUAAGGAUUGUCAAAGUAGUAUAUUUACCGUUUAAUUUUCUAAUUCUGUAUUUUUUAAAAUUAAUUACGGAUUUUAUAAUUUACGUAUUAUCUGUGACACGUCUUAUUAAAAUCCAGUGGCCCCACUUAUAACCAUAACACGUCUAACUUCUGUCAUCCAGGGGCGUAUCCACAAGUUUCCAGAACGCGUUUUUGAAUUUGCCACACCAAGAGGAAUGUCUCAGCAGCUAUUAUAGUAGUGCUAGUUGUCAGUGUAGGUCUGCAACUUUUAGUUUUCCAUUUAUUUCUACGUGAUGAAAGUAAGAAGAGAAUAAUUAACCAGCCAUGCGUGUACAGUACAUCCAACUUUCCCAUCAUUAGAGACACAAGUCCAUACAGAAUGAUUACUUGUAGAUAAGAGAAAGGU
This is an RNA transcript of Centruroides sculpturatus (bark scorpion), 5795 nucleotides long. It is a transcript of the gene named FGFR1 oncogene partner 2 homolog, with no coding region annotated. Lineage: Eukaryota; Metazoa; Arthropoda; Arachnida; Scorpiones; Buthidae. The record is from RefSeq and is a predicted model, not a curated record. The transcript is spliced from 7 exons.